This 465-nucleotide ribosomal RNA is filed under the name uncultured bacterium. Its description in RNAcentral is "partial 16S ribosomal RNA". It matches the Rfam family "Bacterial small subunit ribosomal RNA", at positions 339 to 795 of the family's 1533-position model. The record is from RNAcentral.
CUACGGGGUGCAGCAGUGGGGGAUCUUGCGCAAUGGGCGAAAGCCUGACGCAGCGACGCCGCGUGGGGGAUGACGGCCUUCGGGUUGUAAACCCCUGUCGGGUGGAACGAACACGCCUGGUGCGAAUACCACCGGGCCUUGACGGUACCACCGAAGGAAGCCCCGGCUAACUACGUGCCAGCAGCCGCGGUAAUACGUAGGGGGCGAGCGUUGUUCGGAUUUACUGGGCGUAAAGAGCGCGUAGGCGGCCGGAUAAGUCCGUUGUGAAAUCCCCCGGCUCAACCGGGGACCCGCUUCGGGAACUGGCCGGCUUGAGUCGCGGAGAGGAGAGCGGAAUUCCCAGUGUAGCGGUGGAAUGCGUAGAUAUUGGGAGGAACACCGGUGGCGAAGGCGGCUCUCUGGACGCGUACUGACGCUGAGGCGCGAAAGCUAGGGGAGCAAACGGGAUUAGAUACCCGAGUAGUC